CUCAGAUUGAACGCUGGCGGCAUGCCUUACACAUGCAAGUCGAACGGCAGCGCGGGAGCAAUCCUGGCGGCGAGUGGCGAACGGGUGAGUAAUACAUCGGAACGUGCCCAAUCGUGGGGGAUAACGCAGCGAAAGCUGUGCUAAUACCGCAUACGAUCUACGGAUGAAAGCAGGGGACCGCAAGGCCUUGCGCGAAUGGAGCGGCCGAUGGCAGAUUAGGUAGUUGGUGAGGUAAAGGCUCACCAAGCCUUCGAUCUGUAGCUGGUCUGAGAGGACGACCAGCCACACUGGGACUGAGACACGGCCCAGACUCCUACGGGAGGCAGCAGUGGGGAAUUUUGGACAAUGGGCGCAAGCCUGAUCCAGCCAUGCCGCGUGCAGGAUGAAGGCCUUCGGGUUGUAAACUGCUUUUGUACGGAACGAAACGGCUCUUUCUAAUAAAGAGGGCUAAUGACGGUACCGUAAGAAUAAGCACCGGCUAACUACGUGCC
RNAcentral lists this ribosomal RNA (491 nucleotides) under Variovorax sp. RNAcentral's name for it is "bacterial SSU rRNA". It matches the Rfam family "Bacterial small subunit ribosomal RNA", at positions 23 to 509 of the family's 1533-position model. Lineage: Bacteria; Pseudomonadati; Pseudomonadota; Betaproteobacteria; Burkholderiales; Comamonadaceae. The record is from RNAcentral.